CCUACGGGGGGCAGCAGUUUCGAAUCCUUCACAAUGGGCGAAAGCCUGAUGGUGCGACGCCGCGUGAGGGAUGAAGGUCUUCGGAUUGUAAACCUCUGUCACUGGGGAGAAAACGCUUUGAGUUAAUAGUUCAAAGCCUGAUUUAACCCGGAGAGGAAGCAGUGGCUAACUCUGUGCCAGCAGCCGCGGUAAUACAGAGACUGCAACACUUAUUCGGAUUCACUGGCAGGCGGUUGGGCGCAUCAGGUUUGAAAUCCCGAGGCUUAACCUCGGAACUGCGUCUGAAACUACUCGACUAGAGUACUGGAGAGGGAAACGGAAUUCACGGUGUAGCAGUGAAAUGCGUAGAUAUCGUGAGGAACACCAGAGGCGAAGGCGGUUUCCUGGACAGUUACUGACGCUCAGGCACGAAAGCAUGGGGAGCAAAAGGGAUUAGAUACCCGGGUAGUC
Molecule: ribosomal RNA, 450 nt
Filed under: uncultured bacterium
Lineage: Bacteria
Description: partial 16S ribosomal RNA
Rfam family: Bacterial small subunit ribosomal RNA
Source: RNAcentral